GAUGAACGCUGGCGGCGUGCCUAAUACAUGCAAGUCGAGCGAACAGACGAGGAGCUUGCUCCUCUGACGUUAGCGGCGGACGGGUGAGUAACACGUGGAUAACCUACCUAUAAGACUGGGAUAACUUCGGGAAACCGGAGCUAAUACCGGAUAAUAUAUUGAACCGCAUGGUUCAAUAGUGAAAGACGGUUUUGCUGUCACUUAUAGAUGGAUCCGCGCCGCAUUAGCUAGUUGGUAAGGUAACGGCUUACCAAGGCAACGAUGCGUAGCCGACCUGAGAGGGUGAUCGGCCACACUGGAACUGAGACACGGUCCAGACUCCUACGGGAGGCAGCAGUAGGGAAUCUUCCGCAAUGGGCGAAAGCCUGACGGAGCAACGCCGCGUGAGUGAUGAAGGUCUUCGGAUCGUAAAACGCUGUUAGUAGGGAAGAACAAAUGUGUAAGUAACUAUGCACGUCUUGACGGUACCUAAUCAGAAAGCCACGGCUAACUACGUG
This 497-nucleotide ribosomal RNA is filed under the name uncultured bacterium. Its description in RNAcentral is "partial 16S ribosomal RNA". It matches the Rfam family "Bacterial small subunit ribosomal RNA", at positions 28 to 507 of the family's 1533-position model. The record is from RNAcentral.